GAAUUUUGGUCAAUGGGCGAAAGCAUGAUCCAGCAAUGACGCGUGCAGGAUGAAGGCCUUCGGGUUGUAAAUUGCCUCUGUAAGGAACGAAAAGCAUUGGGUUAAUAACAUGGAUUCAUGACGGUACCGUAAGAAUAAACACCGGCUCACUACGCGCCAGCAGCGGCGGAAAUACGUUGGGUGCAAGCGUCAAUCGGAAUUACUGGGCGUAAAGCGUGCGCAGUCGGUUGUGUAAGACAGAGGUGAAAUCCCCGGGCACAACCUGUGAACUGCCUUUGUGACUGCAAGGAGAGAGUACGGCAGAUGGGGUUGGCAUUCCGCGUGUAGCAGUGAAAUGCGUAGAUAUGCGGAGGAACACCAAUAGCGAAGGCAACCCCCUGGGCCUGUACUGACGCUCAUGCACGAAAGCGUGGUGAGCAAAC
Molecule: ribosomal RNA, 422 nt
Filed under: uncultured bacterium
Lineage: Bacteria
Description: partial 16S ribosomal RNA
Rfam family: Bacterial small subunit ribosomal RNA
Source: RNAcentral